UAUUUGGUAGCGGCGAGCGACCAGGAAUUAGCCCAACGUUGAAUCCGUUGCCCUAUCGGUAGUGGAAAUGUAACGUAUAGGUUGUGUCUUGGUUUUUGUCGAUGGCUCUAAGUCUGCUUGAAUGCGGAAAUACUAUAGAGGGUGUUAGUCCCGUAGGAGUCGUUGGCUGAGACUUUGAUGCUUCCAAUGAGUCGGAUUGUUUGAGAAUGCAGUCCAAAUUGGGAGGUAGAUUCCUUCUAAGGCUAAAUACUUGUCUGAGUCCGAUAGUAAACAAGUACCGUGAGGGAAAGUUGAAAAGUACUUUGAAGAGAGAGUUAAAUAGUGCGUGAAAUCACAUAGGGGAAUGCGAGUAGAAGCGAAGGUUGGCGUGUGGUAAUCAGCUUUUUUCGGGCGGCUCGGCUGACAACGGCAGACUUAACGGUUUCCAUGAUUGGCUGGUUUUGCUGCUUGAGAGAAGUGCACUUGCUGCAUGCUGAAUCUGCGAUCGGUAAAUAGGCUUUGCUGCUAGUCGGGAAGGUGAUCAUCUCUUCUGAUUUGGUUUUAUAGACCGGCAAUGCGUCUUAGCUGAAUAUCGGUAAUGACUGGCGUCCGAUUCGCUGGCGAUUGUAAGUUCGGUGCUGGCUGAUAAUGAUUUCAUUGUUAGUAGGUUGCUGGGCCUGCAGUUGUCGGUGAUAGGUGCUUUAAAGUCGCAGUGCAUAUGUAGCCGUCUACUCGUCCCGUCUUGAAACACGGACCAAGGAGUUUAAUUUGUAUGCGAGUCAAAGGGCAGUACGAAACCCCAGGGCGCAAUUAAUGUAAAGGCUAGCUUUAGUUAGCUUAAAUGCGAUCCCGAUACGGUUCGGCCGGUCGGGCGUAGCAUUGGCCUGCUUAAAGGUGCUUGCAUCUGAGCAGAGCUCGAGCAUACAGGUUGAGACCCGAAAGAUGGUGACCUAUGACUGAGCAGGUUGAAGCCAGACGAAAGUCUGGUGGAGGACCGAAGCAGUUCUGACGUGCAAAUCGAUUGUCAGACUUGGUUAUAGGGGCGAAAGACUAAUCGAACCAUCUAGUAGCUGGUUCCCUCCGAAGUUUCCCUCAGGAUAGCAGACGUUUACGAAUAGUUAUAUCCGGUAAAGCGAAUGAUUAGAAGUAUUGGGGGCGCAAUGCCUUCAACUUAUUCUCAAACUUUAAAUGGGUAUGCGUGCGUCUUUCUUAAUUGAAGAUGCGCAGCUAAUAUUAAUGUCUAGUGGGCCAUUUUUGGUAAGCAGAACUGGCGAUGUGGGAUGAACCAAACAUCUAGUUAAGGUGCCUAAUAUUCGCUCAUGAGAAACCAAAAAAGGUGUUGGUUGAUAAAGACAGCAGGACGGUGGACAUGGAAGUCGUCAUCCGCUAAGGAGUGUGUAACAACUCACCUGCCGAAUCAACUAGCCCUGAAAAUGGAUGGCGCUGGAGCGAGUAACCUAUACUGGAUCGAUACGGCAAGAUCUUUCGGGAUCGAGUACGCUGUGUCGUGUAGGAGGGUGCUGUGGUUGCAUAGAAGUAUUGAGCGUGAGCUUGUAUGGAGCGGCCACGGGUACAGAUCUUGGUUGUAGUAGCAAUAUCAAGGAAUCCCG
RNAcentral lists this ribosomal RNA (1589 nucleotides) under Pentacoelum sinensis. RNAcentral's name for it is "partial 28S ribosomal RNA". It matches the Rfam family "Eukaryotic large subunit ribosomal RNA", at positions 77 to 1485 of the family's 3401-position model. Lineage: Eukaryota; Metazoa; Platyhelminthes; Tricladida; Bdellouridae. The record is from RNAcentral.